UGGUCCUACGGGGGGCAGCCGUGGGGCCUCUUUCCCCCUUUUUGGCCCCCUGAUGCAGCAAUGCCGCGUGGGUGAAGAAGCACUCCGGUGCGUAAAGCCCUGUCAGCAGGGAAGAAAAUGACAGUACCUGGACAAGAAGCCCCGGCUAACUACGUGCCAGCAGCCGCGGUAAUACGUAGGGGGCAAGCGUUAUCCGGAUUUACUGGGUGUAAAGGGAGCGCAGGCGGCGUGGCAAGUCAGAUGUGAAAACCCGGGGCCCAA
RNAcentral lists this ribosomal RNA (261 nucleotides) under uncultured bacterium. Its description in RNAcentral is "partial 16S ribosomal RNA". It matches the Rfam family "Bacterial small subunit ribosomal RNA", at positions 334 to 612 of the family's 1533-position model. The record is from RNAcentral.